Molecule: ribosomal RNA, 233 nt
Filed under: uncultured bacterium
Lineage: Bacteria
Description: partial 16S ribosomal RNA
Rfam family: Bacterial small subunit ribosomal RNA
Source: RNAcentral
CACGGGUGAGUAACACGUAUCCAACCUGCCGUCUACUCUUGGACAGCCUUCUGAAAGGAAGAUUAAUACAAGAUGGCAUCAUGAGUCCGCAUGUUCACAUGAUUAAAGGUAUUCCGGUAGACGAUGGGGAUGCGUUCCAUUAGAUAGUAGGCGGGAUAACGGCCCACCUAGUCUUCGAUGGAUAGGGGUUCUGAGAGGAAGGUCCCCCACAUUGGAACUGAGACACGGUCCAA